Molecule: unclassified non-coding RNA, 387 nt
Filed under: Hevea brasiliensis (rubber tree)
Lineage: Eukaryota; Viridiplantae; Streptophyta; Magnoliopsida; Malpighiales; Euphorbiaceae
Source: RNAcentral
GUGUUGUCAUCACCACAUUAUCAAGUGCAACCACCCCUGACAUAGUGGACAUAAUUGUCACCAAUUUAACUUCUCAUGGAACAAAUUGAUAAAAUUAAAGCUUUGGAUAUUAUUGAAAAUGGCUACAAAGUUUUGCAAAUAAAUUUUCACCAUUUGAUUCUACAUUUUUCUUUGAAUGAAGCAGCAUAGGGUCUUGAAAUGCUUCCUGUCAGCAUUCUAACAUGUGGGGGGAGUCUUACUUGGUCUACAACAUGAUGUCUCUUAUGUGGAAGGGUAUCUAGUUGGAAACUUCAAUGGGAAGUUUUGAAUUUGCAUAUAUGGUUGUUGCACUGCUUACUAUGUCCCAGGGUAUCACACUGCUAUUAGCCAAGUCCCUUCUCUUGUUCU